Small nuclear RNA from Pteropus vampyrus (large flying fox), 107 nucleotides. NCBI's taxonomy places the organism in Eukaryota, Metazoa, Chordata, Mammalia, Chiroptera, Pteropodidae. The record is from Ensembl.
GUGCUCGCUUGGGCAGCACGUACAUUAAAAUUCCAACGAUACAAAGAAUGUUAGCAUGGCCCCUGCAUAGGAAUAACAUGCAAAUUUGUGAAGCAUUCCAUAUUAAA